Molecule: ribosomal RNA, 253 nt
Filed under: uncultured bacterium
Lineage: Bacteria
Description: partial 16S ribosomal RNA
Rfam family: Bacterial small subunit ribosomal RNA
Source: RNAcentral
UACGAAGGGAGCUAGCGUUGUUCGGAAUCACUGGGCGUAAAGCGCACGUAGGCGGAUGUGUCAGUCAGGGGUGAAAUCCCGGAGCUCAACUUCGGAACUGCCCUUGAUACAGCACGUCUUGAGUCCGGAAGAGGUGGGUGGAAUUCCUAGUGUAGAGGUGAAAUUCGUAGAUAUUAGGAAGAACACCGGUGGCGAAGGCGGCCAUCUGGCUCGGUACUGACGCUCAGGCGCGAAAGCGUGGGGAGCAAACAGG